Long non-coding RNA from Perca fluviatilis (European perch), 362 nucleotides. RefSeq lists it as uncharacterized. The record is from RefSeq and is a predicted model, not a curated record. Lineage: Eukaryota; Metazoa; Chordata; Actinopteri; Perciformes; Percidae. The transcript is spliced from 3 exons.
GCCACGGAGGAGACCUCUGUCUUUGAUGUGGAUACCUCAGAGCCAUCAUCCGCUUCUUUGCCAAAGAGUUGCAUGAUACAUGAACGGAACUGAUGAGGAAAAAAUAAAACGGCUACCUGACUCACACAUUUGCCAAGAACUCCAUGUGGGACAAGGACUGCACAUCAAGAAGAGGAUGGAUCCUGAAACUAAAGAAAUCUGGAGGACAUCAACAGCUUUACGCAGGAGCCACGGAGGAGACCUCUGUCUUUGAUGUGGAUACCUCAGAGCCAUCAUCCGCUUCUUUGCCAAAGAGUUGCAUGAUACAUGAACGGAACUAACGAAACACGAAAUAAAACAGUAUGUUACAAAUUUAAACCAAA